This is an RNA transcript of Pan troglodytes (chimpanzee), 3170 nucleotides long. It is a transcript of the gene named putative zinc finger protein 487, with no coding region annotated. The transcript has 5 exons. The record is from RefSeq and is a predicted model, not a curated record. Lineage: Eukaryota; Metazoa; Chordata; Mammalia; Primates; Hominidae.
GAAAAACAAAAAAAAUUAACCGGGCGUGGUGGCGGACGACUGUAAUCCCAGCUACUCGGGAGCCUGAGGUAGGAGAAUCACUUGAACUCGGGAGGCGGAGGUUGCAGUGAGCCAAGAUCGCGCCACUGCACUCCAGCCUGGGCAACAAGAGCGAAACUUCGUCUCCAAAAAAAAAGGACAACUUUUGAUCCCUGAGGCUGCUAAUUCCAACUGUGUGCAUGUGCUUAACAAAUACCUCCGCACCCAGGCCUGGGAAGUUGGCUGCUUUGUGUACAGCAAAUACGGCAGGCCUGAUGUAGCAGAACUCUGACGAAAACGAACUGGACGCGUAUUUCUCCUGCAGCGAAGGUCACGCUGCUGACAGCCUCUGCCUUGCACUUUGUCCCUGGGAAGGAGGCCUGUGGCCAGUCCUACCUCCUGGAAAGCCAGGGUGCGUCAGAGGACCUGAUGCGGAGCGGGGACCCCAUCCUCUCCGUGUCUCCCCAAGAGCCGGCGGCAGAGGCUGCCUGCGCUCCUUAAGCUAGGUCAGUUCUCCGACCCGCAGUUCUCGUUCUCCUAACAUCCUCCGCAGACAACGACCUUCAUUUUUUCCUCUUGCGCCAGUCUUGAAGCGGGGCGUCCUUUGGGCUCACGUUGCGGCGCCCAGCGGCCUCAAGCGUCAGCUGCCUCCAGGGCUUCAGGAGCAGUGGCUGGGGCCUGCCCUCCAGCGCCCGGGGUCCUCGGCCCAGCCCUGCUCCGAGCGCGUCACAAUGGCGUCGCGGCCCCGCCCCCGGACGCCCAGCCGCGGUCCCAGCGACCUUCGCUUUCGUGGGGAAGCCGGACUGCGCCGUGUCUUCCUGAAGAAGGUUGGGGUUGAGUCCGGCCAGCGGACAAGAGGGCAGCUGGUAGCAGGGUGGGAUGCCCGUGGCAUAGGGCCGAGCCCCCGCUAGGCACGCGGGAGCAGCAGGGCUUCCGGAAGCGCAGGGAGCGCUGGACUGGCGGGCGCCCGGGAUUCGCGCAGGCCCCGCCCCUCGGCGGCCCCGCCCAGGGAGCGCUGCGGCAGUUUCCAUGGUGAGAUGGUCAACAAUCCUGGAUCAGUGUCCUUCAGUGAUGUGGCUGUGGGCUUCACCCAGGAGGAGUGGCAGCAUCUGGACCCUGCUCAGAGGACCCCGUACAGAGACGUGAUGCUGGAGAACUACAGCCUCCUCCUCUCAGUGGGAUAUUGCAUUACCAAACCAGAGGUGUUUUGCAAGUUGGAGCAUGGACAGGUGCUGUGGAUAUUAGAGGAAGAGUCCCCAAGUCAGAGCCACCUAGUCUCUCUCAGUCUCACAGGCUAGAGUGCAGUGGUGCAAUCUUGGCUCAAUGCAACCUCUGCCUCCCAGCUCAGAGAUUCUCAUACCUCAGCCUCCCUAGUAGUUGGGACCACAGACUGCUGCAUAGAUGCAUAGAUGAUGACCUGAUGGAGAAGAGACAGGAAAAUCAAGACCAGCAUUUGCAGAAAGUUGAUUUUGUCAACAAUAAAACACUGACUAUGGACAGAAAUGGUGUAUUAGGAAAAACAUUUUCUCUUGACACAAACCCUAUUCUAUCAAGAAAAAUACGUGGCAACUGUGACUCAUCUGGAAUGAAUUUGAAUAAUAUUUUGGAAUUAAUUAUUAGUAAUAGAAGCUCCUUUGUAAGGAACCCUGCUGAGUGUAAUGUACAUGGGAAAUUUCUCCUCUGUAUGAAGCGUGAGAAUCCUUAUGCCAGAGGGAAACCUUUGGAAUAUGAUGGAAAUGGGAAAGCCGUCUCUCAGAAUGAGGACUUAUUUAGGCAUCAGUAUAUUCAAACUCUUAAGCAGUGUUUUGAAUACAAUCAGUGUGGGAAGGAUUUUCAUGAAGAGGCAGCCUGCAGUACCCAUAAGAGAGUGUGCUCAUGGGAGACCCUGUGAAUAUAAUGAACAUGUGAGAGCCUUUUCCGAUAGACCAAUAUUCAUUGUUCAUCAGAGAACUCACAUAAGGAAGAGUCACUAUGAAUUCAAUGAAUGUGAGAGGAGGUCUGGUGAGAGGCCACCUGUAAAUAAACACCACAGGGUUAUGGAGAUGAAAUACUAUGAGUGUAAUGCGAGUGAGAAUAGUUUUGGCAAGAAAUCACUCCUCAUUCUACGAAGUUACAGAGGAGAGAAAACUUGACUGUAGUAGACAUUUGGAAGUAUUCUGCAAGAAGCCAAAUUUCACUCAACAUCAAGAAACACAUAUAGGAAAGAAUGCCUAUAAAAUUAAUCAGUAUGCUAGUACAUUUUGCCGUAAGCCAAAGCAUUCUGUAUAUCAGAAAACAGAUACAGAGGAAAAACUCUAUGAAUGUAGUGAAUGUGGGAAAACCUUCAGCCAUAAAUCCUCUUUUAUCCUACAGCAGAGGAUACACAGAGGAGAGAAACCCUAUGAAUGCACUGAAUGUGGGAAAACUUUUGGAUAUGGUCAUGCCUUGCAGUACAUCAAAGAACACACAUGGGACAAAACCUAUGAAUGUAAUGAAUGUGGAAAAAACUUCUGUGAGAAGUCAAAUCUUCAUGUACAUCAGAGAACACACAUAGGAGAGAAACCCUAUGGAUGUAAUGAAUGUCAGAAAGCCUUUGGUGAUAGGUCAGCUCUAAAAGUACAUCAGAGAAUACAUACUGGCGAGAAACCCUAUGAGUGUAAGGAAUGUGGGAAAACUUUCUCCCAGAAGCCAAACUUCAUUAAUCAUCAGUGAACUCACACAGGAGAGAGACCCUUUGAAUGCAAUGAAUGUCAAAAAUCCUUCUCUGUGAAGUCAAAACUUAGAGAACAUCAGAGAAUUCACACAGGGGAGAAACCCUAUGAAUGUAAUGAAUGUGAGAAAAUGUUCUACCACAAGUCAUCCCUCACAGUACAUCAGAGAACCCACACAGGAGAGAAACCCUAUGCAUGUAGUGAAUGUGGGAAAACCUUCUACCAGAAGUCAUCCCUCACAACACAUCAGAGAACACACACAAGGGAGCAACCCUAUGAAUAUAAUGAAAGCUUUUACCAGAAUCCCAACUUCACUAAACGUCAGAGAGACAACAUAGAGGAAACCCUUGUCAACAUCCUGAAGGCUCAGAAACCUUCACCUUCUUGGACUCGUUCCAUAGCAGAAACAACCCAGGUUGGGGUGAGAACACCCAAUAAAGAUGAGAAAUCUUUUGCCUAGAA